RNAcentral lists this long non-coding RNA (494 nucleotides) under Setaria viridis. RNAcentral's name for it is "long non-coding RNA (SVIR_LNC000145)". Lineage: Eukaryota; Viridiplantae; Streptophyta; Magnoliopsida; Poales; Poaceae. The record is from RNAcentral.
UUGGAAGUUAUGGCCAAAAUACGGAGGGGCAUACGGUAGCACCACUUAUUCCGAUGCUAAAAAAUACAUACCAUCGGAACAUCCGAUGGUACACUUUAACUAGUCAUUGGAGCAACAGCUCUUAGAUGCCUUAGGCUAUUUAUACCCCCUCCACUCGUCCAUUUGAAGUUGCUAGAGUAUGUAGGAGUCCAUUGGAGUGCAAGGCACAUCAAGAACAUAUCCAAGCCACCAAAAAUGCAUAAGUGAUUAAUGCUAGGAUAGGUCUAGAGAGGAGAGAGUGCAAGGUGUGCUUGCCUUAUGAUCGGUUCAAGGAGUGAAUCACAAGUGUACAAGGUGUACCGACGCUUUGGAGCCUUGGUGGCUCAUCGGCAACUCUUCGACCCUCCGACUUGGUAUGGAGUGGCGUCGACAACCAUGAGUGGGGAUGAGGAGACCUCCUCCUUCGUGGAGAAGCUCUGUAGUGAAUACGGCGUCAAGGUGACCGGAAGAAAGGG